GAUCCCAUCAGAACUCCGAAGUUAAGUGUGCUUGGGCGAGCGUAGUACUAGGAUGGGUGACCUCCUGUGAAGUCCUCGUGUUGCACCC
Molecule: ribosomal RNA, 88 nt
Filed under: Nelumbo nucifera (sacred lotus)
Lineage: Eukaryota; Viridiplantae; Streptophyta; Magnoliopsida; Proteales; Nelumbonaceae
Source: RNAcentral